RNAcentral lists this ribosomal RNA (301 nucleotides) under uncultured bacterium. RNAcentral describes it as "partial 16S ribosomal RNA". It matches the Rfam family "Bacterial small subunit ribosomal RNA", at positions 509 to 807 of the family's 1533-position model. The record is from RNAcentral.
CAGUCGCCGCGGUAAUACGAAGGGGGCUAGCGUUGUUCGGAAUUACUGGGCGUAAAGCGCACGUAGGCGGAUAUUUAAGUCAGGGGUGAAAUCCCAGAGCUCAACUCUGGAACUGCCUUUGAUACUGGGUAUCUUGAGUAUGGAAGAGGUGAGUGGAAUUCCGAGUGUAGAGGUGAAAUUCGUAGAUAUUCGGAGGAACACCAGUGGCGAAGGCGGCUCACUGGUCCAUUACUGACGCUGAGGUGCGAAAGCGUGGGGAGCAAACAGGAUUAGAUACCCGUGUAGUCCCUGUCUCUUAUAC